GGUGGGCCCCCCAGCUCGCGCCCCGCGCUGCCUCCUCGGUUCUCCCGCCUCCGCUCCAUCUUGGCUCCGGCCGCUCUGCUUCUUGGUCACUUUCCAGGCGCCGGGGCCGCGGCAGCCGGGACCCAGCCUGCUAGGAUGAUCAUGCAGAUCUAUCUGAUACAGGGAGAAAUUCAGCAACUUCACCCAGAUUCAGUUUUCCCCACAAGGCUGCAUCUGAAAGACCAAAGAGGAAAGAAGUGACACCAGUCAUUUCUCCUGCAAGAAAAUAAUGAGAAGAACGACAUUUGGCCCAUUCUUGCCUUGCUAGUGUGCCAGUGUGUGUGUGCACCAUGUGCCAGAUUCUGUGCUAGAUGCCAGGAGUAAACUGUAUAAUACAACACACAUGGCUCUCUGGCAUCAUGGUACACAUAGUCUCUGAUCUUUGAAUCAUACCAUCUCUCAUACAUUAUUUGAUUUGAUCCUUUUAACAACUUUGAAAUAGCCAAGAUUUCUAUUUACAUUUCAUGCAUAAUGAAGUUAAGCUUAGAGAAGUUCAAGUGAUUUACUGAAGAUCAGCUGAUAAAUUUUGCGAUCAGGAUGGUCACCCUAAUUUUCUACAUUCUAAGACAGUGGCCUUCCUGCUACUUCAUGCUACUUCCCCGAGAUCCGAGCUUCAAAGAUUAUAUCUAAGUUGCUCUUUGAAAUAGCAGCUUGGCUAAUUGUAUUAUUCACGUUUUUGUUAGUUCUUACCUUACUCAAUAAUCUUCCCUUGCAUUAGCAGAUAUUAUUGAUCAUCAUAAAUGGACUUUAUCUAAGCAAUUUGUGAUCCCAUGAUAUUUAUUCCAAUAAAUGAUUCCUAGCUCUUAAUACAGAAUAAAUUAUUUUUAUAACACACAAUUAUUAGAAUGCUCUCCAUGUUUUGUGACACCUCCCCCAAAGAAAACAGCUAGAAAUGCAGAGUAGUUGAUGUACAGCUGUUAAAGGAAGAUAUUAGAAAGCUUUAGUUCCAGUAGACUUGGACAAAUAAUAAAUGAAAGUAAUUUUGAAAACUAAAAGGAAGUGACAUCAAGAAAGGCAGCAGAGUGGAAAGAACACUGGACUGAGAAUCAAGAGACAGAAGAUUUGGUCUUGGUUCAGCCAACUUUGGGACAUUCAGUUCUUUUUUCCAGGCCUUCAUUUCCUUAAUCACAGAAUUGAAUUUCAGGCACCUGCUGUAUUCUACAUACAUAAUUCUAAAUCUGAGUUAAGUGGACAGAGAUCCUGGAGAGUGACAUUGGGGAGACUAUAGGAGGCA
RNAcentral lists this long non-coding RNA (1273 nucleotides) under Canis lupus familiaris (dog). Its description in RNAcentral is "lncRNA (ENSCAFG00845000356.1)". The record is from RNAcentral. Lineage: Eukaryota; Metazoa; Chordata; Mammalia; Carnivora; Canidae.